AGUGGGGAAUAUUGCACGAAUGGGGGAAACCCUGAUGCAGCGACGCCGCGUGAGUGAGGAAGUAUUUCGGUAUGUAAAGCUCUAUCAGCAGGGAAGAAAAUGACGGUACCUGACUAAGAAGCCCCGGCUAACUACGUGCC
Molecule: ribosomal RNA, 140 nt
Filed under: uncultured bacterium
Lineage: Bacteria
Description: partial 16S ribosomal RNA
Rfam family: Bacterial small subunit ribosomal RNA
Source: RNAcentral